This 563-nucleotide long non-coding RNA is filed under the name Rattus norvegicus (Norway rat). RNAcentral's name for it is "long non-coding RNA NONRATT024867". The record is from RNAcentral. Lineage: Eukaryota; Metazoa; Chordata; Mammalia; Rodentia; Muridae.
UCAAAACUAGGCUCCCAGGGUUCAGUUGGUUUUAGUGAUUUUGUCUGACUUGAUGAUUCCUAUCCAAAAAUUUACCUCAGUGUGAUUGGGAAGGCAGGAGCAGAGCAGGGUGGUCUCCUAAUCCUUAAUUUAUUAAUUGGCUCGCUGUACAAGGCACCUUCACUCAUGUACACACACAAUUACAAUCAGUCUUCCAUGCCUUACGGCAUGUGUCUACCACUCAGAUUUCACUGACCUGAAGAUGCCCUAACUCCCCAUUUUCCUUCCCCCAGAGCCACUGGAGGUCAUUGGCCUUUAUAAUCUCCAGAUUUUUGCCUUUCCCACAUUGCCAUGGUAUUAGUAAGUGCACAUAUUUUAAAUUAUAAUCUUUCUUACCACAGAGAAAGGUUUCUAUUCCAAAAGAGAGCCAAGGAGGGUCCAGAGGAGGUAAAACCCUUAACUCGCCUUUAAGCAUCGGCCAGCAGAACCAACCACCUGGGAAGGGAACUGGAAAGGAAGACAAAGCUCAUUUUGAUUAGUGGUUUCUGUUACAUUUCCCACAUUCCUAUUAAACCACAUACUCC